Molecule: ribosomal RNA, 180 nt
Filed under: uncultured bacterium
Lineage: Bacteria
Description: partial 16S rRNA
Rfam family: Bacterial small subunit ribosomal RNA
Source: RNAcentral
CCUACGGGAGGCAGCAGUAGGGAAUAUUCCACAAUGAGCGAAACUUGNAUGGAGCGACACAGCGUGCAGGAUGAAGGUCUUCGGAUUGUAAACUGCUGUUAUAAGGGAAGAAAAACUAGUAGAGGAAAUGCUAUUAGCCUGACGGUACCUUAUCAGAAAGGACCGGNAACKAUGURCMAC